GGUUAAGUGAAUAAGGGCGCACGGUGGAUGCCUUGGCACUAGGAGCCGAUGAAGGACGGGACUAACACCGAUAUGCUUUGGGGAGCUGUAAGUAAGCUAUGAUCCAGAGAUUUCCGAAUGGGGGAACCCAAUAUCUUUUAUAGGAUAUUACUUUUCAGUGAAUACAUAGCUGAUUAGAGGUAGACGCAGAGAACUGAAACAUCUUAGUACCUGCAGGAAGAGAAAGAAAAUUCGAUUCCCUGAGUAGCGGCGAGCGAAACGGGAAGAGCCCAAACCAACAAGCUUGCUUGUUGGGGUUGUAGGACUCCAAUAUGGUAGUCUGUUAGUAUAGUUGAAGGAUUUGGAAAAUUCCGCUAAAGAGGGUGAAAGCCCCGUAGACGAAAUGCUGACAACACCUAGGAGGAUCCUGAGUACGGCGGAACACGAGAAAUUCCGUCGGAAUCCGCGGGGACCAUCCCGCAAGGCUAAAUACUCCCUAGUGACCGAUAGUGAACCAGUACCGUGAGGGAAAGGUGAAAAGCACCCCGGAAGGGGAGUGAAAUAGAUCCUGAAACCGUGUGCCUACAACAAGUCAAAGCUCGUUAAUGAGUGAUGGCGUGCCUUUUGUAGAAUGAACCGGCGAGUUACGAUUGCAUGCGAGGUUAAGUCGAAGAGACGGAGCCGCAGCGAAAGCGAGUCUGAAUAGGGCGAAUGAGUAUGUAGUCGUAGACCCGAAACCAUGUGAUCUACCCAUGUCCAGGUUGAAGGUGCGGUAAAACGCACUGGAGGACCGAACCCACGUACGUUGAAAAGUGCGGGGAUGAGGUGUGGGUAGCGGAGAAAUUCCAAACGAACUUGGAGAUAGCUGGUUCUCUCCGAAAUAGCUUUAGGGCUAGCCUCGGAAUUGAGAAUGAUGGAGGUAGAGCACUGUUUGGACUAGGGGCCCAUCUCGGGUUACCGAAUUCAGAUAAACUCCGAAUGCCAUUCAUUUAUAUCCGGGAGUCAGACUGCGAGUGAUAAGAUCCGUAGUCGAAAGGGAAACAGCCCAGACCACCAGCUAAGGUCCCAAAAUAUAUGUUAAGUGGAAAAGGAUGUGGGGUUGCACAGACAACUAGGAUGUUGGCUUAGAAGCAGCCACCAUUUAAAGAGUGCGUAAUAGCUCACUAGUCGAGUGACCCUGCGCCGAAAAUGUACCGGGGCUAAACAUAUUACCGAAGCUGUGGACUACACCAUUAGGUGUAGUGGUAGGAGAGCGUUCUAAGGGCGUUGAAGGUCGAUCGUGAGGACGGCUGGAGCGCUUAGAAGUGAGAAUGCCGGUAUGAGUAGCGAAAGACAGGUGAGAAUCCUGUCCACCGUAUGACUAAGGUUUCCUGGGGAAGGCUCGUCCGCCCAGGGUUAGUCGGGACCUAAGCCGAGGCCGAUAGGCGUAGGCGAUGGACAACAGGUUGAUAUUCCUGUACCAGUUGUUUUUGUUUGAGCAAUGGAGGGACGCAGUAGGCUAAGGAAUGCAUGCGAUUGGAAGUGCAUGUCCAAGCAAUGAGUCUUGAGUAGAGUUAAAUGCUUUACUCUCUAAGGACAAGUUGUGACGGGGAGCGAAAUAAUAGUAGCGAAGUUCCUGAUGUCACACUGCCAAGAAAAGCUUCUAGUGAGAAAACAACUGCCCGUACCGUAAACCGACACAGGUAGUCGAGGAGAGUAUCCUAAGGUGAGCGAGCGAACUCUCGUUAAGGAACUCGGCAAAAUGACCCCGUAACUUCGGGAGAAGGGGUGCUGACUUCGGUCAGCCGCAGUGAAUAGGCCCAAGCGACUGUUUAUCAAAAACACAGGUCUCUGCAAAAUCGUAAGAUGAAGUAUAGGGGCUGACGCCUGCCCGGUGCUGGAAGGUUAAGAGGAUGGGUUAGCUUCGGCGAAGCUCAGAAUUGAAGCCCCAGUAAACGGCGGCCGUAACUAUAACGGUCCUAAGGUAGCGAAAUUCCUUGUCGGGUAAGUUCCGACCCGCACGAAAGGCGUAACGAUUUGGGCACUGUCUCAACGAGAGACUCGGUGAAAUUUUAGUACCUGUGAAGAUGCAGGUUACCCGCGACAGGACGGAAAGACCCCAUGGAGCUUUACUGUAGUUUGAUAUUGAGUGUUUGUACCACAUGUACAGGAUAGGUAGGAGCCGAUGAGACCGGAACGCUAGUUUCGGAGGAGGCGCUGGUGGGAUACUACCCUUGUGUUAUGAA
This 2204-nucleotide ribosomal RNA is filed under the name Enterococcus faecalis. RNAcentral describes it as "partial 23S ribosomal RNA". It matches the Rfam family "Bacterial large subunit ribosomal RNA", at positions 1 to 2217 of the family's 2925-position model. Lineage: Bacteria; Bacillati; Bacillota; Bacilli; Lactobacillales; Enterococcaceae. The record is from RNAcentral.